This is a long non-coding RNA of Gadus macrocephalus (Pacific cod), 388 nucleotides long. RefSeq lists it as uncharacterized. NCBI's taxonomy places the organism in Eukaryota, Metazoa, Chordata, Actinopteri, Gadiformes, Gadidae. The transcript has 3 exons. The record is from RefSeq and is a predicted model, not a curated record.
UGGCGAUGCCCAGCGUGUGUUCGGGGCAACGGCGGCCGGAGAGCAAACAGGAAGUGGAUACUACAUCUUCCAUCAAUACGAUGACAUCACCUGUAGAGCCAGCAUUGAGCCCCCACACGUUCGGUCUGAAGGAGAUGGCCCCGCCCACCAGACUCAGAGAACCCGCCCAGGCAGAGCCAAUCACAGCGGCGCCUGGAAGGAGGCGAAGGAUUCCGCCAUCUUCUCUCCAUGGUAACACACUCACACACACACACACACACACACACACACACACACACACACACACACACACACACACACACACACACACACACAUACACACACGCAGACAAACAGACAAACACACAAACACACAAACACACACACACACACACAAACACAUACACAA